GAAUGGGAGCAUUUCUAAAUGACUUCAAGCUCUGUCACGGCAUAAUCUCUUAUAAAUAAAUGUCAGUGUAGUCACUGAAUGCAGACUGGAUUUUUGCUUGACUACGGUGCUCAGCCUUCUAGACAAUAGUUAUGCUAAGGGAUUAUCUUUUAACAUAGUGCAGUUAUCUUCUUUGUUUGUUUUCUUUUUUCAUUAUUCACAUAAGCCAAGGGAAAUGAAAAGCAUCUUAUUUCAGGCAAAAAGGCCUGUGAAUGAUUAACUCUGGUUCCAUGCAUUGGGACUUUGCAUAGCAACCCCUUGGCUUGCAACGACAAAAAGCUCAAGGCAGGAACAGCAGCCCAGGGACCUAAGACCAACGUUCUCAAAUGAAGGUGCUGUGUGUCUGUGAUCUGUUGAUGAGGGUGGCGAAGGACUACUCAAUCAACUGGGGUGUACAAAAUGGAGUUUGAGAAGGUCUCACAUCUAAGUCGUUUUGAAGCAAAGUCCAAGCAUUGUAUCAUUUCCUCUGCAAAUAUUUUAAUAAGUACCCAAAAGCUGACACCAACUCCAGAACUCAGCUGUAGAUUACUUUUGGAAGUGACUGACCGUGGCGGUAUCUACAAAAAUGGUAAGAAGAGUGGAGGAAUCUUUGUCGUUUCAGUCUAGGGAUGCUUCCUUGGUCCAGGAAUGCCUUCCAGCAUUCUUGAGCUCUGGCUAAUGAGGUGCUAAUGGGGUGUUAUUACUGGCUACUAGACCAAGGCAUCCAGAGAGACAGGCUGGUAAACACCCUUUGAAGUAUGUGCCUAAUCCUUUGAAGUGUGUUUCUAAUGGGAAGAUAAGCACAUUUCCGGUCUUAGAGAUGCAAAGUUUUGUGUCCUAACCUAUGUUAUCAACUCUAGGACACAUUUGCUCUGUUUCAGGUAGUACUUAGGCAAGAAACUGCGUUAGAGGGGUGGUUCCAGGGCUCGGUCUCCUCAUGUUGGAUUUGGCUAAUGGUGCCUCAUAUAUGAAACCUGCUUAGUGAUUCUUAUAUAUGCCCCAAGAGAUAAAUAGAAAUAUAGGUCAAACUAGGGGAAUACAAACCCAAAUGUCUCUCUAAAUAAACUUUUCUCCUCUUUGACUUCUCUGAGAUAAGUUUAUUUGGAGGGACACUCUCCUCUUCGACACUCUGUUUUCUCCAACACUUUAAUUAAGUAAGGUCAAAAACUGUCUCUGAUUGGUCCCUUGAUUCCUGGCACAGUGGUUUGUACAGAAAGUACAGAGUACAGAAUCUUUUAAAUAGUGCUCAUGUAUGAAUCACUUUGUGAUAUGGAUUAAAACUCUGAUGCUCUGCCACACAAUUCUUAAAACCAAAAAGUUCUCAACUUAGCAGAAAGCCAGAUAUAGGACAAUAUAAUACUUUCUAAGCCUUUUAGUGUUUAAAGUAUUUACACCUCAUUUACCUCAAAUUACAUUCAGUGGAGAUUCCCCAGACCAAAUUUUAGAGGGUCAGGGUCAAAUGCGAAGGGGACAGAAGGUUUUCUGGUUUCUACAUAUGGACUCAGAUUGCCUUCUAAUUCAGUUAAGUGACAAUUUAUUUGUUAAUACAAAUAUAUUUGCAUCCAACCAAUCAGCAAAUAUGUCUUGAAUAUAGUAUUCUUCCUCAUAUUCAUGGGGUAAACUUUCCAUGACUUCAGCGAAUGCCUGAAGCCACGUAUAGUACCACACCUCCUAUAUACUAUGUUUUUUCUUUAUCGUAAGUCCAGUACCCACAGACUUAUGAAAAUGUGUAUAAAUUAAGGACAGUAGGAGAUUAAUAAUAACUAAUAAUAAAAUAGAACAAUAAUAAUGCUAUUCCAUAAUAAAAGUAAAGUGAAUGUGGUCUGUCUUGCUCAAUAUAUCUCAUGUAAUAUUUUCAGAUUGCAGUUGACUAUGGGUAACUGAAAAUGAGGAAUGAGAAAUCACAGAUAAGGGGGGACUUCUAUAUUUUAUUAUGGCAACAAUCUGUGCACAUAAAUCAAACCUCAGCUAGCAGAAUUAAAGGUAGCAAUUGAGGAAUUAGGGCUCAUCGUGGUGGAUAGGAAACAGGACUGGAAUGCAGCUCUUCACAGAGGAGCACGCAGAAGCUUGCAUUGUGAAUUUUAGGUCCAGAUUGACUGCAAGAACAAACCAACAAUACUGAGAGGACACACAGACCCUCUGAAGGAAGCAGACUGCACCUGCAGGACCUGGGAGAUACCCCAAAUACUGUGAGUGCCCCACCUGCGGAAGCAGGAAAGGGAGACCAUCCUCUCCUGAACACACACCCCCACUGGAGAAACUGAAAGUCUGUUUGUGGGAGAAGUUUCCAAUUUUACCCGGAGCUGAGUCAAUUUAGAGAGCCAUGCAAAAUACAGGGGUAGAAGAAGCCGCAGAAAGGCCUUGGAAGCUUGCUGGGUCCCCCCUAGCAGGCUAUUCCUGCCUGGCACCACAGGGAUACAUCAGGAUGGUGGCCAGAGGAAAAGGGGGUAAAACGACACAAGGAAAAUAAAAUCUCUAGCUGAACUUAAACAAAUUCACAAGAAAAAACAACCCCAUUAAAAAGUGGGUGAAGGAUAUGAACAGACACUUCUCAAAGAAGACAUUUAUGCAGCCAACAAACAUAUGAAAAAAAGCUCAUACUCACUUGUCAGUAGAGAAAUGCCAAUCAAAACCACAAUGAGAUACCAUCUCAUGCCAGUUAGAAUGGUGAUCAUUAAAAAGUCAGGAAACAACAGAUGCUGGAGAGGAUGUGGAGAAAUAGAAACACUUUUACACUGUUGGUGGGAGUGUAAAUUAGUUCAACCAUUGUGGAAGACAGUGUUGCAAUUCCUCAAGGAUCUAGAACCAGAAAUUUCAUUUCACCCAGCAACCCCAUUACUGGGUAUAUACUCAAAGGAUUAUAAAUCAUUCUACUAUAAAGACACAUGCACACAUAUGUUUAUUGCAGCACUGUUCACAUAACAAGGACUUGGAACCAACCCAAAUGCCCAUCAGUAAUAGACUGGACAAAGAAAUGUGGCACAUAUGGAAUACUAAAAAGCCAUAAAAAGGAUGAGUUCAUGUCCUUCGCAGGGACAUGGAUGUAGCUGGAAGCCAUCAUUCUCAGCAAAUGGACACAGGAACAGAAAAUGAAACACCACAUGUUCUCACUCAUAAGUGGGAGUUGAACAAUGAGAACACAUGGACACAGGGAGGGCAACAUCACACACUGGGACCAGUUGGGGGUGGGGGAAAAGGGGAGAGAUAGCAUUAGGAGAGAUAUCUAAUGUAGAUGACUGGUUGAUGGGUGCAGAAAACCACCAUGGCACAUAUCUAUGUAGCAAAACUGCACAUUCUGCACAUGUAUCCUAGAACUUAAAGUAUAAUUAAAAACAAACCAACAAUAACAACAGGAAUAACAUGAUCAUCUCAAUCGGUAGAAAGCAUUUGACAAAAUGCAGCAUCCCUUUAUGAAUAAACUCAGCAAAAUAGGCAUAUGGGUGACAUUCCUUAAUGUAAUAAAAGCCAUCUAUGACAAACCUACAGCCAACACGAUACUGAAUGGAGAAAAAUUGAAAGCCUUACCUCUGAGAACUGGAACAAGACAAGGAUGUCCACUCUUACCACUCCUCUUUAACAUAGUUCUGGAAGUGCUAGCCAGAGCAAUUAGACAAGAGAAAGAAGUAAAGGCAUCCAAAUUGGUCAAGAGGAAGUCAAACUGUCAGUGUUUGCUGAUGAUCGUUUACCUUGAAAACCUUGAAGACUUCUCGGGAAAGCUACUAGAACUGAUAAAAGAAUUCAGCAAUGUUUCCAGAUAGAUUAAUGUACACUAAUCAGUAGGUCUUCUAUGCACCAACAGCAACCAAGCUGAGAAUGAAAUCAAGAACUCAUCCCUUUUACAAUAGCUGCAAAAAAGUUAAAAUACUUAGGAAUCUAUUUAACCAAAGAGUUGAAAGACCUCUACAAGGAGAACUACAAAACAGUGCUGAAAGAAAUCAUAGAUGACACAAACAAAUGGAUACACAUUCCAUGCUCAUGGAUGGGUAGAAUCAAUAUUGUGAAAAUGACUGUAUUGCCAAAAACAAUUUACAAAUUUAAUGCAAUCCCCAUCAAAAUACCACCAUUAUUAUUCACAGAAUUAGAAAAAACAAUUCUAAAGUUCAUGUGGAACCAAAAAACGGCCCAUAUAGCCAAAGCAAGACUAAGCCAAAAGGACAAAUCUGGCCAUAUCACACUACCUGAUUUCAAACCAUGCUUUAAGACCAUAGUCACCAAAACAGUAUGAUAUUGGCAUAAAAAUAGCGCAUAGACCAGUGGAACAGAACAGAGAACACAGAAAUAAACCAAAUAUCUACAUCCAACUGAUUUUUGACAAAGCAAACAAAAACAUUAAGUGGAUAAAGACACCCUUUUCAACAAAUGGUGCUGGGAUAAUUGACUAGCCACAUGUAGGAGAAUGAGACUGGAUCCUCAUCUCCACCUUAUACAAAAAUCAACCAAGAUAGAUUAAGGACUUAAUCCUAAGACCUGAAACUAUAAAAAUUCUAGAAGAUAACAUUGGAAAAACACUCAAAGACAUUGGCUUAGGCAAGGAUUUCAUGACCAGGAACCCAAAAGCAAAUGCAAUAAAAACAAACAUUAGCUGGGACCUAAUUAAUCUAAGGACGUUUUGUACACCUAAAGAAUGUCAACAGAGUAAACAGAUAACGCACAGAGUGGGAGAAAAUCUUCACAAUCUAUACAUCUGAUUAAGGACUAAUUCAGAGUCUACAACAAACUCAAGCAAAUCAGUAAGAAAAAAAUCCCAUCAAAAAGUGGGCUAGGCCGGGCGCGGUGGCUCAAGCCUGUAAUCCCAGCACUUUGGGAGGCCGAGGCGGGUGGAUCACAAGGUCAAGAGAUAGAGACCAUCCUGGUCAACAUGGUGAAACCCCGUCUCUACUAAAAAAUAUACAAAAAAUUAGCUGGGCAUGGUGGCACGUGCCUGUAAUCCCAGCUACUCAGGAGGCUGAGGCAGGAGAAUUGCCUGAACCCAGAAGGCGGAGGUUGAUCGCACCAUUGCACUCCAGCCUGGGUAACAAGCGCGAAACUCCGUCUCAAAAAAAAAAAAAAAAAAGUGGGCUAAGGACACAGAUAGUUCUCAAAAGAAGGUAUAGAACUGGCCAACAAACACAUAAAAAAAAAAUGAACAUUACUAAUGAUCAGGGAAAUGCAAAUCACAACCACAAUGAGAUACCAUGUUACUCAUGCAAGAAUGGUCAUUAUCAAAAAAAUUAAAAAAAAAACAGUAGAUGUUGGCGUGGAUGCCGUGAACAGCGGACACUUCUACGCUGCUAAUACAGCCAGCAGUGUACUGAAAACUCAUACAGCCACUAUGGUAAACAGUGUGGAGAUUCCUUAAAGAACUAAAAGUAGAACUAUCAUUUGAUAGUUGUAUUAAAUAAGCAUUUGAUCCAUCAAUCCCACUACUGGGUAUCUACCCAGAAGAAAAGAAGUAAUUAGUUGAAAAAGAUACUUGUACAUGCAUGUUUAUAACAGCACAAUUCACAAUUGCAAAAACGUGGAACCAACCCAAAUGCCCAUCAAUCAAGUGGAUAAAGAAACUUGUGUUAUUUUUUGUGCAGUAAUUCAGGAAUGGAAAAUCAAACAUCAUAUGUUCUCACUAAUAUGUGGGAGCUAAGCUAUGAUGAUGUAGACCUAAGAAUGAUACAAUGGACUUAGGGUACUUAACGGAAAGAGUGGGAUGGGGGUGAGGGAUAAAAGACUACAAAUAGGGUGCAGUGUAUACAACUCAGGUAAUGUGUGAACAAAAUCUCACAGAUCACUGCUAAAGAACUUACUCAUGUAACUACCACCUGUACUCCAAUAACUUAUAGAAAAAUAAAAGUAAAUAAAUAAAAUUACAUUUAAAAAGAUAACACUUUAAUGUUUGCUUUUUAAGUAUCUUGUUUAUAAAAAUAGACCUCAUUUCUUUAGAGCCGUUUUCAGUUCACAGCAAAAUUGAACAGAGGUAUAGAGGUUUCCCAUAUCUCUCUCCCCUCACAUUCAUGCAGCCUUCCCCGGUAUCAAAAUCGUACACCAGAGUGGUGUAUUUGUUAAUUAAUGCAUUUACACUGACACACUGUAUACAUCAUUGUAUUAGGGUAAUUGUGCCUUAAUAGAUUGAGUUAGGAAGUACUUGCUCUGCUUCUAUUUUCUGAAUGAGAUUGUAGAAAAUUGGUAUAAUUUCUUCCUUAAAUAUUUGGUAGAUUUCACCAGUGAAUCUAUCUGGCCCAAGUGAUUUCUGUUUUGAAGGCUAUUAAUUACUAAUUCAAUUUCUUUAAUAAUAGUGCUGUUCAACUUAUGUAUUUCUUCUUGUGUGAGCUGUGGUAGAUUUGUUUUUUAAGGAAUUGGUUCAUUUCAUUUAGGUUACCAAAUUUGUGAGCAAAGAGUUGUUUAAAAUGUUUCUUUAUUUUCUUUUUAAUGUUCAUGAGAUUGAUAGUGAUGUCCCCUCUUUUAUUUCUCAUGUUAGUAAUUUGUGUCUUCUCUCUGUUUUCUUAGCCUGCCUGGAGGCUCAUUUAUUUAUUGAUCUUUUCAGCGAACUAACUCUUGGUUUCAUUCAUUUAUUUUCUUUUGUAAAUUUCAUUGAUUUCUGCUUUAACUUUAUUGUUUCCUUUUUUUGUGCUUUUAAUAUGCUCUUCCCUAACCUCAACCUCCUUGUUUCCUAAGGUAGAAGUUUAGAUGAUCAAUUUUAGAUCUUUCUUCUUUCUAAUAUACAGAUUCAGUGCUGUAAAUUUCCUCUAAGCACUGCUGUUUCUGUAUCCCACAAAUUUUGUUGUGUUUUCAUUUUGAUUGUGUUCAAAAUAUUUAAAACAUUUUCUUCGCAUUUCUUUUUGCUUUCUGUGUUAUUUUGAAGUGUGUUGUUUAAUCUCCAAGUAUUUUGAGAUCUUCCAGCUAUCUUUCUGUUGAAUGUUUAUGUUAGUCUAAGAUAAUAUCAAUCUGAUUCUUUUUUCUACUUUUCCCAUAUAUCUUUGUGUGGGGAGCAGGAUGUUGUCAUAAACUUUCUCAGCUAACUUCUGGAUGAUCAAUUUAACUCAGAGUUAAUAAGUUCAAUCACUUUAUUUUCUUCUGCUUCAAACAAUUCUACCUUUAUUAUGCUCAGCAUAACUUUAUUUUAAAGGAAGAAGAUUCCCUUUUUAAAUAUUUUAUUUUAUGUUUUAUUUUGGAUUCGGGGGUACAUGUGCAGAUUUAUUACAUGGGUAUAUUGUGUGAUGCUUAGGUUUGGGCUUAUAAUGAUCCUGUCACCCAAAUAGUGAACAUAAUACUGAUAGGUAGUUUUCAACCCUUGUAUCCCCCUGUCUUCCACGAUGGAGUCCUCAAUGUCUAUCAUUCCCAUCUUUGUGUCUGGAUGUACCCAAAUUUUACCUCCCACUUAUAAGUGAGAACAUGGUGUAUUUCAUUUUCUGUUUCUGCACUAAUUUAUAUAUGAUGAUGGCCUCAAGCUGCAUCCAAGUUCCUGCAAAAAACAUGAUUCUGUUCUUCUUCAUGGUUGUGUAGUAUUCCACGAUGUAUAGGUACCAUGUUUUCAUCAUCCAAUUCACUACUGAUGGGCACCUAGGUUGAUUCCUUGUCUUUGCUAUUUUGAAUAGUCCUGUAAGGAACAUACAAGUGCAUAUGUCUUUUUGGUAGAACAAUUUGUUUUCCUUUGAGUAUAUACCCAGAAAUGGGAUUGCUGGUAAUUCUGUUUUCAAAUGGUAAUUCUAAUUUUGGUUCUUUGAGAAAACUCUAAACUGCUUUCCACCAGGACUGAACUAAUUUGCAUCCCCACCAACAGUGUAUAAGCAUUCCCUCUCUGCAAACUCACCAACAUCUGUUAUUUUUUGACUUUUUUAUAAUAGCCAUUCUGACUGGUGUGAGAUAGUGUUCACUGUGGUUUUGAUUUGCAUUUACUUAUCUGAUGAUUAAUGAUGUUGAGUUUUUUUUUAAUAUGUUCAUUAGCUUCUUGUAUGUCUUCUUUUGAGAAGUGUCCACUUUCUAUUGGUGCUAUUUGUUUCAUUCUUGUUGAUUUAAGUUUCUUAUAGAUUCUGGAUAUUAAGCUUUGUCAGAUGCAUAAUUUGCAAGUAUUUUCUCUCAUUCUGUAGGUUGUCUCUUUACUCUGUUGAUAGUUUCGUUUGCUGUGCAGAAGCUCUUAGUUUAAAUAUGUCCCAUUUGUCUAUUUUUUCUUUUUUUUGCAUUUGCUUUUGGAGUCUUCAUCAUAAAUUAUUUGCCUAGGACAGUGUUUAAAAGGGUAUUUCCUAGCUUUUCUUCGAGGGUUAUUAUAAUUUGAGGUCUUACAUUUAAGUCUUUAAUCCAUCUUGACUUAAUUUUUAUAUAAGAUAAGAGAUCAGUGCCUAUUUUCAUUCUUCAGCAUAUGGUUAGCCAGUCUUUUAAGUACCAUUUAUUGAAUAGAGUAACCUUUACCCAUUGUCAUUUUUGUUGAUUUUGGUAAAGAGGAGUUGAUUGUAGGUGUGUGGCUCUACUUUUGGUUUCCACUUUCUGUUUUAUUGGUCUAUCUAUUUUUGUACCAUUUCCAUGCUUUUUUAGUUACUAUGGACUUAUAGCAUAGUUUGAAAUUAGGUAAUGUGAUGCUACUGGCUUUUUUCUUUUUACUUAAGAUUGCCUUAGCUAUUUGGGCUCUUUUUUGGUUCCAUAUGAAUUUGAGAAUAGUUUUUUCUAAUUCUGUGAAAAGUGACAUUGGUAAUUUGAUAGGAAUCGUAUUGAAUCUGUAGAUCGGUUUGGGCAAUAUGAAUAUUUUAAUGAUAUUGAUUCUUCCAACCCAUGAACAUAGAAUAGUUUUCCAUUUGCUUGUAUCAUCUACAUAUCUAUCUCAUUUUUUUCCCUAAGUAUUUUAUUUUUUUGUGGCUAUUGUAAGUGAAAUUGCAUUCUUGAUUUGGUUCUCAUCUUUGGUGUGUAGAAAUGUUGCUAAUUGGCUAGGCAUGGUGGUUCAUGCCUGUAAUCCCAGCACUUUUGGAGGCUGAUGCAGGUGGAUCACAAGGUCAGGAGAUCAAGACCAUCCUGGCUAACAUGGUGAAACCCUGUCUCUACUAAAAGUACAAAAAUUAGCCAGGAAUGGUUGCAUGUGCCUAUAGUUCCAGCUACUUGGGAGGCUGAGACUGGAGAAUUGUUUGAACUUGGGAAGUGGAGGCUGCUGUGAGCCAAGAUUGCACCACUGCACUCCAGCCUUGGAGACAGAGUGAGACUCCAUGUCAAAAACCAAACCAAACAAAACAGAAAUUCUGCUGAUUUACGUAUGUUGAUUUUGUAUCCUGAGACUUUGUUGAAGUUGUUUAUCAGGUCUACAAGUCUUCUGGCAGUCUUUAGGGUUUUCUAGGUCUAGAAUCAUAUUGUCAGUGAAUAUAGAUAACUUGACUUCCUUUUUUUUUUUUUAAUGUGGCUGCCUUUUAUUUCUUUCUGUCAUCUGAUUUCUCUGGCUAGGACUUCUAGUACUAUAUUGAAUAGCAGUGGUGACAUCCUUGUUUUGUUUCAGUUCUCAAGGGGAAUGCUUCCAGCAUUUACCCAUUUACUGUGAAUUUGUCAUAGAUGACUCUUAUUGUUUUGAGGUACGUUCAUUGAAUUCCUAGUUUGUUACUUUUUUUUUUUUUUUUAAUCAUGAAGGGAUGUUGGAUUUUAUGCAAAGCUUUUUCUUUAUCUAUUGAGAUGGUUAUUUGUCUUUUUUUUUUUUUUUUGAGAUGGGGUUUCGCUAUUGUUACCCAGGCUGGAGUGCAAUGGCAUGACCUCGGCUCACCGUUCCUCCGCCUCCUGGGUUCGGACAAUUCUCCUGCCUCAGCCUCCUGAGUAGCUGGGACUACAGGCACGCGCCACCAUGCCCAGCUAAUUUUUUGUAUUUUUAGUAGAGACAGGGUUUCACCAUGUUGACCAGGAUGGUCUCGAACUGUUGACCUCGUGAUCCACCUGCCUCAGCCUCCCAAAGUGCUGGGAUUACAGGCUUGAGCCACCACGCCCGGCCCUUGUCUUUUGUUUUUAAUUCUGUUUGUGUGAUGAAUCACAUUUCUUAAUCUAUGUCUCUUGAACCAUCUUUGCAUCCCAGGAAUAAAACCCACUUGAUCAUGGUGAACUAACUUUUUAACAUACUGCUGGAUUCAAUUUGCUAGUAUUUUGAGCAUUUUUGCAUCUACGUUCAUCAGAGAUAUUGGCCUAUAGUUUUCUUUUUUUGCUGUGUGCCUUUGCCAGAUUUUGGUAUCAGGAUGACACUGGUUUUGUAGAAUGAGUUAGGGAAGGUUCCCUUUUCCUCAGUUUUUUUGGAAUAGUGUCAGUAGGAUUAAUACCUGCUCUUUGUACGUCUGGGAGAAUUUGGCUAUGAAUCCAUCUGGUCCAGGAGUUUUGUGGUUGGUAGGUUUUUUUUUCCUUUUUAUUACUGAUUCAUUUUUAUUACUUCUUAUUAGUAUGUUUAGUAUUACUGUUUAUUCCUGGUUCAAUCUUGAGAGGUUGAAUGUUUCCAGGAAUGUAUCCAUUUUCUCUAGAUUUUCUAGUUUGCAUGCAUAGUGGUGUUCAUAGUAGUUUAUGAGGAUAUUUGUAUCUCUGUAGGAUCAGUUGUAAUGUGACCUUUGUCAUUUCUAAUUGUACUUAUUUGGAUCUCUCUUUUUUUCUUGAUUAUUCUAGCUAUCAGUCUAUCAAUCUUGAUAAUCCUUUCAAAGAACCAAUUUUUCAUUGAUCCUUGUAUGUUUUUUGUGGGGGAUCUCAAUUUCUUUUAAUUCUAUGAUUUUAGAUACUUUUCUUCUAGCUUUAGGUUUAGUUCUUGCUCUUCUAUUUCUGUUAGGUGCAAGGUUAGGUUGUUUUUGUCUUCUUUAUGAAGACAUUUAGCAGUAUAAACUUUCCUGUUAAUACUGCAUUUGCCACAUCACAGAGGUUUUGGUGUAUUGUGUUCCUAUUUUCUUUUGUUUAAAAAAGUUUUUUGAUUUCUGCCUUAAUUUUGUUUUUUACCCAAAAGUCAUUUAGGGGCAAGUUGUUUAAUUUCCAUGUAUUUAUGUGGUUUUGAGAGUUCCUCUUAAUAUUGAUUUCUAUUUUUAUUCCACUGUGGUCUGAGAAGCUACUUAGUAUAAUUUUGAUUUUUUGAAUUUAUUGAGCGGUAUAAAUGCUCUGCUUAAAAGACAUAGAGUGGCAAAUUAAACAGCAAAAAAAGACGCAUCAUGCUGUCCUCAAGAGCAUCAUCUUACAAUUAAUGAUGCCCAAAGGCUCAAAGUAAAGGGUUGAAGAAAGACUGUCAUGCAAAUGACAAACUUUAAAAUAGACUUUUUAAACCUGCAACGGUAAAAACAGACAUAGAAGGGCAUCACAUAAUGAUAAAGUGUUCAAUUAAACAAGGAGAGUUAAGUAUUGUAAAUAUAUGCGUGUCCAACAUUGGCAAAGCAAAUUAUUGUUAAAGGGGUUGCAGAAUUGUUAUUAAAGCAAGUUAUGUUAAAGGGGUAGAGAAUUAUAUGUUGAGACUUGACUUAUGUCCAAGCAUGUGGUCAGUCUUAGAGGAUGUUCUGUGUGCAGAACAAUUACUGAAACAAACCAAAAUAGAGACACAAUACACCAAAACCUCUGGGAUGCAGCAAAAGCAGUAUUAAGAGGAAAGUUUAUAUGCUAAACGCCUUUAUAAGGAAAGCAUAAAACAACCUAACCUGUGCCCAGCAGAAGUACAUUGGUAAAGCAAUUACUUCUAGACCUAAGGAAAGACUUUGGCAACCACAGAACAACAGAGGAGGCUUCAACAACCCACUGACAGCAUUAGACAGAUUAUCGAGACAGAAAACUAACAAAGAAAUUAUGAACUUAAAUUCAACACUUUACCAAUUGGGCCAAACAGACAUCUACAGGCUACUCCACCCAGCAACCACAGAAUAUGCAUUCUUCUCAUCUGCAUGCAGAACAUUCUCUAAGACUGAUGACAUGCCUGGACAUAAAUCAAGUCUCAAGAUACCUUAAUGGCAAUUCUGCAGCCCCUUAUCCAAGUCAGAAAUGUAGAGGUUCUCCUAAUUUUUUCUCAGUCCCUCAGCUGCACGUAUGUAACUGGUAACCAAACUUAUCAAUUAAGGCUGGGCAUUUCGCUCAAGCCUGUAAUCCCAACUUUGGGAGGCUGAGUCAGGAGGAUUGCUUGAAUCCAGCUGUGUAAGACCAGCCUGAGCAGCAUAUGAGAUCCUGUCUCUACCAAAAAAUUUUAAAAAAUUAGCUGGUUGUGGUGGCAUGUAUCCGUUGUCUCAGCUACUUAGGAGACUGAAGUGGGAGGACCCCUUGAGUCCAGGAGGUCGAGGUUACAGAGAGCUGUGAUACGCCACUGAACUCCAGUGUGAGUGGUAGAGCAAGACCCUGACCCAAAACAAAAACAAAGCAAACAAAAACUUAUCAAUUAUACAUUUGAGGUAGUUCUCUGUCCCUUUCUCUCAAUUCCAAUUUUUACUAAGUUCAAAUCUUCUUCAUAUCUUAACCUGAACUAUAAGAGUAACCUCCUACUUCAUUCUCCUACUUUUAGCUUUAUUUCUCUCAUUACAUACAUAUGUAAUUAUUUAUUUAAUUUAUUGAGAGAGGUCUUGUUCUGUCACCCAGGCUGGAGUGCAGUGGUGCGAUCAUGGCUCACUAUAGCCUCCCUCUCCCGGGCUCAGGUGAUCCUCCCACCUCAGCCUCCCAAGUAGCUGGAACUGCAGGUACAUGCCACCAUACCUGGCUAUUUUUUGUAUUUUUUGUAGAACUGGUGUUUUGCCAUGUUGCCCAAGCUGGUCUUGAACUCCUGGCCUCCAGUGACCUACCUUCCUUGGCCUCUCAAAGUGUUGGGAUUACAGGCAUGAGCCACCAUGCUCAGCCCAUAACAUAAAUGUCAAUUAUAUUAUCAGAACAUUAAUUAUAACAUUAGUAUAACAGUAGAUCUUUACAUAUGUAAUAUCUAUGUAUAACAUAUAUCACAUAUAUCAAACAUAACAUAUAUUAAUUAUGUUUAACAAUCUUUUGUAAUGUAAAAGACAGGCAAACACAAAUGUUGGCAAGGAUGUGGAGAAAAGAGAACCCUCUUUCACUGUUGGUGGAAAUGUAAAUUAGUACAACCACUGUGGAGAAUGGUUUGGAAUUUGCUCGAAAAACUAAAAAUGGAGCUACCAUGUGAUCUGGUAAUCCUACUGCUAGGUAUAUUCCUCAAAGAAAGGAAAUUAGUAUAUCAAAGAGAUGUUUGCAUUUAUUGCAGCACUAUUCACAAUAAGCAAGAUUUGGAUGCAAUCUCAUUGUCCAUCAACAGAUGAAUAGAUAAAGAAAAUGUGAUUCAUAUACACAAUGGAGUACUAUUCAGCCAUAAAAAAGAAUGAGAUCCUGUCAUAUGCAGCAACAUGGAUGAAAGUAGAGGUCAUUAUGUUACGUGAAAUACACCAGACACAGAAAGAUAAACUUCACAUUUUCAUUUAUCCGUGGGAGAUAAAACAAUUGAAUUCAUGGAGAUAGAGAGUAGAAUGGUAGCUAUCAGUGGUUGGGCAGGGUCGUGGGUAAGGGGGAAGUGGUGAUGGUUAAUGUGUACAAAAAUACAGUCUGAAUAAGAUCUAGUAUUUGAUAGCACAACUGGGUGAUUACGGUCAACAAUAAUUUAUUUACAUUAAAAGUAGCUAAAAGAGUAUAUCUGAUUGUAACAUAAAGAAAACAUAAAUGCUUGAAGUGAUGGAUUAAAAAAAAGUUCUAAGCAGCUUAAAGUUCUUCCUAAUGCCUAGCGGACAAGUGCAGACCCCUUAACAGAGCAUACUUCAUCCUUUUAAUCUUAUCCCUUAUACUAUGACUCUUGCCUUCAUUCCCAGAAAUUUGGUUGCCAUCCUGUAGGCAAAAAGUGAGCAUACUUCUGCAUGCUCCUCAAGGUCUCCUUGCUGUGAAGUCUUCCUAGAACGUUCCUUUCCUUCUUGUCAAUUUCCUUGCCCCUCUCUUGUUUGUCCGCAGCUCCUUACUUCACAACUCUUUCAGUGUUUCUCAUAUUUGGUUUCAGGUAGCUGUUUAUAUAUAUGCAUCAUCUCUUGCUGUGAGCUCCUUGAAGAACUGUGUUUUAUUCAUCUUUGUUUUUCUUAGCUAAGAGUCUUGCAGGUAAUAGGUGCUCAGCAAAUGUUUGUUGAAUGAAAAUUGAGUUAGAAAAGCAGUCCAGUAAUGUGGCCUUAUUAAAUCUGUACCAUGCAGACCAAAGGAAUUUUGUCUGAGGGAGAACGGCAAGGAUUGGUGGAGAUUCUUGAGACUAGAAUGGAAAUAAGCUAAAGGGGAGUUCCAGUCUCACACAGGUCCCUGGAGGCACAUAGUUGAUGCCUUAAGAUGAGUAAGGUUUAAAACUUGAUUCAUAUGAAUCUUUAUUUUAUUUCUCAGGAAUUUUCCCCAGGGUAUAAACAUUGAGAUUUUGUUAGGCAGAUCCUUAUUCCAAAAAAGAAUGCCAAUUUGUGUUUUGUUUGGAAUUGUGGUCCCUCUUUACCUUAUUUCAAUAACUUUUGUGCUUUUUGAUGCUUUCAUUUAGCUGAUAUCAAAAUAUCAAUAAAAUCUUUUCUUGGCAAUGUUAACAACUCCCCCAAGAAUCUCACAGGCCCUACUCUCUUCUCAACAUUCCUAUUCUCUCUGACUUUUCCCCAUCUAUUCUAGGACUUUAGUAGCGUUUCCCUGUAAUAGAGCUAUGUAGGCUGGCAUGGGCCUCCUCUAGACUGAGUUACUAGAGGGCAGACAGGUGCCAAUUUCAUGAAGUUCUCUCCUAUAGGACCUAGUAAAGUGAUUUGAAUAACAGAGACAUUUAGAAAUGUCUAGAAACAGAGGUCUUACUAAAUGGGCUGGGUUUCUUAAUAGGGUUAAGAUAUGGGUGACUGGAGGCGGAGGUUGCGGUGAGCCGAGAUCGAGCCAUUGCACUCCAGCCUGGGUAACAAAAGCGAAACUCUGUCUCCAAAAAAAAAAAAGUGUUAGGUGAAUAAAUAAUUUAAUAAUGACAAUGGCCUAAUAAAGGUAGUGCUGAGGGAAACAAUGAUCUCAGGAGUAAUUCAGAGAUAUUCUUGCUUGAAAAGGUUUGAGUAGGUUAUGUGGUUUAAACAUUAUAUUAUUUAAAAACUCAAUUACCUAUAGCAACUGUAUUGGAUUGAAAGGACAUCUUGUGUUGAUCAGCAAUGUGAGGGAAGCUGCUGCUGGAAAGAGGAAAGGAACCAGUGUUUGGAGGGAGGCCGUGGAACAAGAUAGAAAAUCCUCAAGGGCAGCUGUCCAUGUGCACUCCUGGAAAGAGUCAGGGAAUGGAGGGAGGGCAAGGCUUCUGUUGCAAAUAACUCAACUAGCCAGCCACUCAUUGAGCCAGCCACAGUGUGUGUAGGGAGAGUAAUUUCUGAGAAAAAUAGAGGAAAACAUUUUUUAAAAAACUUUAAGCACUUUAAAAGCAACUGUGGGAAGUUGUAAUCAUAGGGUGGUUCUUUCUUUCUGAAAGAAGAAAGGCAUUUCAAUUUUAAAUUCAGUGGGUUGAAAUGAUUGUGUCAUUUCAGCUAGAGAGGAGCAUGUCAGCGAGUGGAAAUGUUUUAUUAUGGAAAGUAUGACUUGAAGAUGUCACAUUUUAAAUUUAAAAAAAGCAAAUAAUUUCUGUUGUUGGUUCCUCCACAAGAACACAUAGCACUUUGCUGCAUUUAGAAGAAAAAGUAAAAAUAUCAAGCAUCAUAUUCACCAUUGACGUAGAAAUAGAGGUCUUACUAAAUAGGCUGGGUUUCUUACUAUGGUUAAGAUAUGCAGAAAACAGAACAAAGACGGCCCCUUAGGAGAUAAACUUUGCUUAGUGGUAUUGUGGACUAUUAGCCUGUGAGUUUAUUUAAGUAUGCAUGCUUUGCUUAUGGGAGUUGGCGGAUAAAAAGAGAUACUGACUAAAUUGUAACGCCCUUGUUUCCAACUCCCUGUCUUACUUAUCACUAAAGCAUCCUUUAUAGUUCAUUGACCUGUUAGACAUUUGAUACAAAUUUGCUGAGUCAACAGAUUUUAGGAUGUUUGGAAUAUGUCUGCAUUACUCAUUUAGAGAUGUCAUUAGCCACCAGUAAGUAAUUAAUAAUGGUAAUAAAAGUACUGUUUUUUUAAAAAAAAGAUUAACAUAGAAAUUAGAGGUGUAAACCGAUGACUUUAUUAACUGUCUUCUUGAAGCUGGCAUGAUUACAUGUUUGAACUAACCUGUAGUUUGUAGAAUAUAACAAUUUUCAGGAUAGUGUCCUUUUGCAGAACAAUCAGACCCAAUAGUCAGAUUAACCCUGCCCAGAUAUGAAGAAACAUUCAGAAUCAUGAAGCUCUAAAGGUUGUUAGUUAUGACUAAAAGGUGUAGAAUGAAGAAACUCCUGGUUGGGGUAAUUAGUUGUACUCUUUAUUUAGCUAAUUGAAAGAUACAGCUAAUUAGACAUUUAUUUUGCUGACAUGAGACCUUUUCUGAAGUGAUUUUUCCACUUCCACGGUCAGAACUUUAGGCAAAUCCCUUUCUUUUGUAGCCAGGCCUUACAUGCAUGGCAUUUUUUUCCCCUUAGGAGAAUAUGUGUAUGUCUGUCAUGUAAGGCAUAUUGUUCAUAGUUUUUUUCUAGGUGUGUGACAUGGUUUUUUUCCCUGCAGAAUUUUCAUUCAUAACCCAAGAUUCUUCAUUAGUAGUAAUAAAUUACUUAUGCCUCAUAAUGGCCUACUCUUGGAGCAUGCUGGACAUAGAGUACAGAUGUUAAUUUUUUUUAUCAUAGAUAUUCUGAAGAUAAUUAAACUAGUGUUUUGUUUUUUGAGAGGGAUUCUCACUCUGUUGCCCAGGUUGGAGUGCAGUGGCACAAUCUAGGCUCAUGGCAGCCUCUACCACCUGGGUUCAAGCAAUUCUCCUGCCUUAGCCUCCCGAGUAGCUGGGAUUAUAGGCACCUACCACCAUGCCCAGCUAAUUUUUUCUAUUUUUAGCAGAGAUGGGGUUUCGCCACAUUGGCCAGGCUGGAGUUAAACUUCUGACCCAGGGCCGGGCGCGGUGGCUCAAGCCUGUAAUCCCAGCACUUUGGGAGGCCGAGGCAGGUGGAUAACGAAGUCAACAGAUCGAGACCAUCCUGGUCAACAUGGUGAAACCCCGUCUCUACUAAAAUUACAAAAAAUUAGCUGGGCACGGUGUUGCAUGCCUGUAAUCCCAGCUACUCUGGAGGCUGAGGCAGGAGAAUUGCCUGAACCCAGGGGGCGGAGGUUGCGGGGAGCCGAGAUCGCGCCAUUGCACUCCAGCCUGGGUAACAACAGCGAAACUCCGUCUCAAAAAAAAAACUUCUGACCUCAAGUGAUCUGACUGCCUUGGCCUCCCAAAGUGCUGGGAUUACAGGCGUGAGCCCCUGCCCCCGGCCUAGUUUCAUCUUUUUUCGUGACAUUUCUGUUUAGGGAAGUCUGUUGGGGUUUUGUUUGUUUGUAUGUUUUGGUUGUAUCACCUCAUCGAAUACAUUGUUGCAACCUGGAGUUAUUCUCUUCAGUAGGGCGAUCUCUUCCCACUUAGGAGGUUUGGAUUCUGACUGCCUGGAUUCCAAUUCCAGUCCUGCUAUUUACUACCUGCAUGGCCUCAGUUUAGCAUCUCUACUGCUCAAACCCUCGAAGUCUCAGUUUCCUCCUUUGUAACAUGUGGAAAAUAAUACGCUGUUGAGAAUUAAAUGAGAUGCACUGAAGGACCUUAGCUGCCCAUAGCAGCACAUAGGAAACAGUCUAUAAUUAUUGUGAUCACUGUAGUUGUUUAUGUCUCUUCUCCUUUGUUCAGCCUUCCUUCUUAUGAUUUUUUUUCCCUCAAAUCAACUCACUCAAUAGUUCCGAUAUAUUUUUCUGCUAAUUAAUUUCCUUUGUAUAUGUGAAUAUAGAGCAUGACAUAAAGUAGGGUCUGAUUUCCAUGUGAAGUUUUUAGAAUAGAUCCCAUCAUAUACCUUCUACAAUACAUAUAGAGCAUCAAAACAGUUUCCCAUGUGAAACAAACCUAGGCAUACUCUCUUGUGAUGAUUUACGUGCUUUCCAGUGUGUUCCUGGAUAUUUGCCUCUCAUCCUUGCAUGCAUUUCCUCACAUCUCUAACGUGUGCUUUCUCCUUUGCUCCUGCGUCACCUUCCUUCUCUGGUUUCUAGCUAUUGAUGUUUUUAUUCCCUUGCCGUGCAUUAGAAUUAACAUCAUUUUCUAAUAUUGCUUCUUUGUGAAGCUUAUCACCUUUCUAUGCUGUGUCCCAAAUACUCUAUGUUCAAACCAUUGAGGCUGCACAAGGAGCAGAAGUCACACUAAUUCAGGGAUGGAGGUGAGGUGGGAGAAAAGAAUAGGCUGGUCCUGCUCCUCCACUCCCGUUUCUGAUGUGGGCAACUUCCCUGCUGUCCUAUGUGCUGGUGACAAGGAAGAGACACGAAGGAAUUGCAGGAGUUCUGUUUUCCAGGUGCUUCCCAAUACCCACUGGAUGACAUCCAAGCUCCUAAAUAUGGUGCACGUAUUCCCCAAGAUCUGGGCCCUUGCAGCCCAUCUUCCCACUUUAAAAUGUGUUCUCUGGUGAUACUGUCUUGCAGUUCCUGGCACAUCAUAUCCUGCUUUGAAUUUAUUUGUCUUUGCUUCUUGUGUAAUGUUUGUCUGUCCAUGUUUACCUUGCCAACUCCAAGUCUCCAAUUCAUUCUUCCAAGCUCAGCACACAGCUUGCCUCCUCUGGGAAGCCACCUUUGAGGCUUUUCCCUUCUUCCUACUGAGCCAAGUACCCUCCUUUCCUUUGGAUUCCACUGCAUUCUGGGUAUAGCUCUGUCAUUAUACACCCCGUUACUUUGGAGUGAUCUGUGUAUGGGUAUGUUUUUUCUGCUGGAAUAAAUUCCGUGAGAGCAGGGACCACAUAUUAUUCAUCUCCGUACCUGCCCCCCUCAAUCUAGCAUGCUAUGUGGUUCAGUGUAGAAGAGCCAGAGUUAUCUGUAGACCUCUUAAGUUGACCUCACUGGGAUCCGUGGGAUGAAGGCAGUGAUGAAGGAAUUCUUACUUCCUUUCAUGGCGCUUGCCUGAUAGUGACCUGACUUUGAAUUUCUUUCAGACAAUGAAACUGGACAGAUAAUAAUUUAGUUAGUUCUUCUCCAGUUUGCAGUCUUGUUCCAGAAGUGACUAUUUUAAAAGGUGGGUCAUAUAUUUAUAUAAUUUGUAGAUUUUUUUCUUAUGUCAUGGUAUAGCUUGUUUGUCAACCACAUGUAUUUCCCAUUUACUCAUUUCUUCGACAGAACACAUAAUAAGAUGACGGACUUUCUAAACACGUGAGACAAAUGCCUACAAAAUGCCUGAAACAAAAUGGUCCAUGCAGCAGAUUUUCUCAUAGAAGAAACCCAUAGACACAUAAUAGAAUGCCUCUCAGUACAAAAACAAACAAGCAAUUACCUGUGCUGCUUCCUGUGGGAAACUCAGCGUCCUACCACCCAUGGUGAUGACUUCUGUGAUUUUGUAGAGGAGUUACAUUAUUCUAAGGAAAUUCAUUCAUAUGUUUCUCAACAAAUAUACAUUUUACUUUCUUGGACAGAAAACAAAGUAUAUGUUUUUGUUCAAAUUUAUUUUCCUCUUUCUCUUUUGUUUCUUAAAAAUAAAUAUUCAACAUGCAAUUUUUAAUAACAGUACAAAAGACUGAAUGGUAGUCAUCACAGGCUGAUAGUGGGGAGGGAACUGUGUGUUCAAGACACAUCUGGAAUAUUUGUGAUGUGGUAGUUGCCUAGCGUGUCUCCCUCUGGGCCUUGACAUUAAACAAUGCCUUCUAGAAUUUGAGUCAAGAUAUGUUUACACUGCAGAUGUGUAUUGUUAUUAGCCUGGUAAAAAUCAUAUUUGAUGAAUUUGCUCCUAGUUUUUCUCUUUGUUAUAAGAGCUCUUCCUUUCUUAUGUUAAUCCAACAUUGUCAAGAAUAUUAUGAGAAUGGAGACUUGAAAUGAACCAUAUUUGGAAAUACCAGUGAGAAAAGGUUUUGAAAAUUCAAAAGGUGAAAAAUAUAUCUAGCCCCUGUAGAUAAAUGUCUAUGGUGUGAAUUGGUAACUCAAUAUAACUUUCAUUUUUUAAAUUUUUCAUUAUAAAUUGUCAAUUUAUAAUUCUAUAAACUUAUGGGGUACAAAGUGACAUUACAGAGGAUGGAAAGAAGAUGAUCAAAGGGUCAAAAUCUCACUAAGCCAUGAGGAAUAUAUAUACGUGUGUGUGUAUAUAUGUAUAUAUGUAUAUAUAUAUGUGUGUGUGUGUGUAUAUAUGUAUAUAUAUGUGUGUGUGUAUAUAUGCAUAUAUACAUAUAUACACACACACAUAUAUUUAGCUCUAUUGCACAGUGUGGCAAAUAUUGUUAAAAAUAAAGUAUUGUAUAGUUCAACAUAAUUUUGAGAGUAGCAAGAAUCCUGAUUUUGUAUUUUUCCACUUAAUAGUAGAUAACAUACUAGUCAUUUUCAGUUUGUACCUUCCAAUCAAAUUUUGCCAUCAUUUUCUUUGAGUAUGUGGAAGAAUCAUCAAUUCAUCUAGAGCUUUUUGUAGAAAAUUAUCUAUUUGAAUUAAAAAAUAUCCUCGUUUCACUUUAACCUGAAAAUUUCUAUAUUUGUUGUUUUAGUGAUGAUAAAGUUUUAUGAAAUUUGAAGUUUAACAGAAAUUGCUAAUUUUGAAAGGUAUAUUUUAGAUAUACCUAAAUUUGUGUCUCUCUAGUCCUCAUAAUUUGUACUUUCUAUCCUGAAAUCACUAUAAGAUUUUAAUAGAGAGUCUUUAAAGUUCCAUUUCAUAAGUAAUAUUUUUUCAAGUGGCUACAGAAACUCUCUGCUAAUGCAGAGAAGAAAACACUUUGAGUCCAUGAUUAUUAAUAUAUUCUUCUUGAUUAUAUGGUUUGCUCUUCAUACCCUCUAGAUGCUCAGUUGCAGAAAAAAAAAUGUGAUCCUUUAACUAUAGGGUUAGAACAAAGGCCCAUUUUCUGCCCACUGCUUAUAGAAGUUAAGAGACAAAAUUUUACUUAGACAGCUGUGGUCUGAUGGAGAUGCGGGUGUUCAGAAAUAGCUUGUGAAUUUAAAGUUGCAUUUAAAGUUGGCAUUUCUGUCCAAUUUGGUUGAGAUUCUGAAAGCAGUUCCACAUUUCUUCAUCAGGAAGUCAGGCUGACUUGUGAUGAAAGAUGAUGAAGACAAAUCCUAAACAGGGCUUCCUGUUUGUUUAAACCCCCAACCCAGGAGAAAAUCACUUCCAAGUUUCCCUGUACAAUUAUUGUAAUAUAUUUUCUUUUCAGAUUGUUAGCAGACUAUUCAGUUUGUGCUUGGCAUUUCAAUUAUAGUGAAAAAGGUGAAACCCAGAAGACUCGAGGAAUUCUCAUUAGGAGUCUGAAAUUUGAUAGACUUUUAAAAUUAACCUCUGCUUCUUGUUCUGUCUCUAGUAAGCACAUUAUUCAUUAAAUCAUAAUGUAUUGAUUAUCUGCUCUAUGAGCAGUUAUGAAUUGGUUACUGUGAUGGAUAGAAAAGAGGAAAAUAUGGCUUUUGUCCUCAGAACUCUCUUACUAAGAAAAAAGACAGGUUAAAAUACAGAGAAAAAUUUCAAUUUAAAGAUGGCAACCACUUUUAAGGAAGGACUAGAUCGUUCUCUUUCUAACAUGAGUGCUUAUGCAAAAUGAGACAUUUUGUUUUGCAAGUGACUUUUUGCAAACGGUAGGAAAGAGAGACAAAGGAAUCAGGGAAGUGUAAAAGCUUUUGAAAAAGACUUAGAUGCUUUUCCUAGAAUGCUGGAACAUCUAAACCAUGUUUGCACAGAGGUAAUUAACAUAACCUUAAUGUUAAUUAUACUUAAUGUUAUAUGUGUUAAUAUAUAUAGCUAACAUAUACUAAGCAUGUACUUCACGUUGACGACUGAGUACAUGCUGUACUGGCGUUUCCUCAUGUACCCCUGGGAAUAGGCUUAUGACAUAGGUGGGAUGCAUUUCCUAGAAGAAUAAAUUGGGGAAAAGGUUAAGCAGUUUUUAAAAUAAUUGACACAAGUGUUUUAAAAUAAUUGACACAAGUGUCCAUGCUUUAAACUUCUGCUCAAAGCUUUGCUUCUAAAGAACAUUUUUUUUCCUUGCUUUUCACAUUUUCAUCUGCUUUCAUUUCUUUUUGCCUUCUCUCAUCUCUGUCAUCUAAUUUUCUCCCUUGAUUUCUUAACUCUUCUUACACUUUCUCAUAAUAUGUUGAUGGUCUGUAAAAAAUUUUCUUGUUUCACUGAUGGUUCACUGAAUGCUUCUGUUGCUGUUGUAUUCAAAAGUAUAUACAUGGAUGGUUGCAUUUUUUUACUUUUACAGUCUAAUGCAGAUAUAAAUAUGCUGAAUAUAUGUACUUUGUUUGCUUAGAAAUGGAAAUAAAUAUCAACUAAAGCCUAAA
This is a non-coding RNA of Callithrix jacchus (white-tufted-ear marmoset), 22245 nucleotides long. NCBI's taxonomy places the organism in Eukaryota, Metazoa, Chordata, Mammalia, Primates, Cebidae. The record is from RefSeq and is a predicted model, not a curated record.